This 272-nucleotide signal recognition particle RNA is filed under the name Acidimicrobiia bacterium. RNAcentral's name for it is "signal recognition particle sRNA large type". It matches the Rfam family "Bacterial large signal recognition particle RNA". Rfam says of the family: The signal recognition particle (SRP) is a universally conserved ribonucleoprotein involved in the co-translational targeting of proteins to membranes. Archaeal SRP consists of a 7S RNA and homologues of the eukaryotic SRP19 and SRP54 proteins. Lineage: Bacteria; Bacillati; Actinomycetota; Acidimicrobiia. The record is from RNAcentral.
CCGUGCUAGGCGGGGCGCUAGGGGUGCCCUGCACCCGAAAUCCCCUUCAUGCGGGGCCGAACCCCCGCCCGAGGGUGGGGUGCCAUCCGGGUCGAGCACCGUGCGAUCGAUGAUGACGGACGGGUCCUGGGCGGCGAAGCGCCGUGAACCGGGUCAGGUCCGGAAGGAAGCAGCCCUAAGCGGGUCCGUCCUCGGGUGCACAGGAGCGCUCGUCCCGAGUCGAGAACACGGUAGGCGCCGGGUAGCCACCAUUCGAGGGCGGGGACGCACGG